UCCUGUGUUGCGUGCCUAACGUUGAUGGAAGUUGACCUCGGAUGAGUCCCUAAUUUUUGCUUCUCACCAAUUUGUGGUGUUAGGUUGACGUGAAAGUACUACCCAUUCUCCUUGAAUGCUUCGCCCUUUUGCGUUGCAAUCAAGGCCCAUGGGUUGCUACUCGGUCCCUCGGAUGCAGAACCUUUGAAGGGUGCACAGUAUGUUGCUGUUGUUUACCCACAAAGCGUUCAUCGAUCGAUGCGUAGGACGGCUGUGCUCGUCUUGGUCCCCUCUCUAACUAGUUUAGACGGGGCUCAUGCGGUGCCGGCGUCGCGAAGGAAUGCUACCUGGUUGAUCCUGCCAGUAGUCAUAUGCUUGUCUC
Molecule: unclassified non-coding RNA, 361 nt
Filed under: Pleioluma laurifolia
Lineage: Eukaryota; Viridiplantae; Streptophyta; Magnoliopsida; Ericales; Sapotaceae
Description: partial contains external transcribed spacer (ETS) and 18S rRNA gene
Source: RNAcentral